UACGUAGGCAGCGAGCGUUGUUCGGAAUUACUGGGCGUAAAGAGUGUGUAGGCGGUGCUCCCAGUCUGUUGUGAAAUCUCCCGGCUUAACUGGGAGGGUGCAGCGGAAACUAGAGUGCUAGAGGGGUGGGAGAGGUAAGCGGAAUUCCUGGUGUAGGCGGUAGAAAUGCGUAGAUAUCAGGAGGAACACCUGUGGUGUAGACAGCUUACUGGACCACUUCUGACGCUGAGACACGAAAGCGUGGGUAGCAAACAGG
Molecule: ribosomal RNA, 256 nt
Filed under: uncultured bacterium
Lineage: Bacteria
Description: partial 16S ribosomal RNA
Rfam family: Bacterial small subunit ribosomal RNA
Source: RNAcentral